GUUUCCCACAAGGCCUUUGGCAGGAACAGGGAUCCUGGGAGCCUGCCAAGCAGAGCGCACAGUGUUCCUGGAGUCUCGCUGCCCAGAUGCCACGGAAUCAGUUGAAGCCAGGUCUCCAGCUGGGGUGGACGUGCCCACCAGCUGCCGAAGGCCAAGACGCCAGGUCCGGUGGACGUGACAAGCAGGACAUGACAUGGUCCGGUGUGACGGCGAGGACAGAGGAGGCGCGUCCGGCCUUCCUGAACACCUUAGGCUGGUGGGGCUGCGGCAAGAAGCGGGUCUGUUUCUUUACUUCCUCCACGGAGUCGGCACACUAUGGCUGCCCUCUGGGCUCCCAGAACCCACAACAUGAAAGGUGAAGCUAGAGGAACCAGACCUCAUCAGCCCAACAUCAAAGACACCAUCGGAACAGCAGCGCCCGCAGCACCCACCCCGCACCGGCGACUCCAUCUUCAUGGCCACCCCCUGCGGCGGACGGUUGACCACCAGCCACCACAUCAUCCCAGAGCUGAGCUCCUCCAGCGGGAUGACGCCGUCCCCACCACCUCCCUCUUCUUCUUUUUCAUCCUUCUGUCUCUUUGUUUCUGAGCUUUCCUGUCUUUCCUUUUUUCUGAGAGAUUCAAAGCCUCCACGACUCUGUUUCCCCCGUCCCUUCUGAAUUUAAUUUGCACUAAGUCAUUUGCACUGGUUGGAGUUGUGGAGACGGCCUUGAGUCUCAGUACGAGUGUGCGUGAGUGUGAGCCACCUUGGCAAGUGCCUGUGCAGGGCCCGGCCGCCCUCCAUCUGGGCCGGGUGACUGGGCGCCGGCUGUGUGCCCGAGGCCUCACCCUGCCCUCGCCUAGUCUGGAAGCUCCGACCGACAUCACGGAGCAGCCUUCAAGCAUUCCAUUACGCCCCAUCUCGCUCUGUGCCCCUCCCCACCAGGGCUUCAGCAGGAGCCCUGGACUCAUCAUCAAUAAACACUGUUACAGCAA
This 974-nucleotide long non-coding RNA is filed under the name Homo sapiens (human). Its description in RNAcentral is "H19 imprinted maternally expressed transcript". Lineage: Eukaryota; Metazoa; Chordata; Mammalia; Primates; Hominidae. The record is from RNAcentral.